RNAcentral lists this long non-coding RNA (3396 nucleotides) under Zea mays. RNAcentral describes it as "long non-coding RNA (ZMAY_LNC003553)". The record is from RNAcentral. Lineage: Eukaryota; Viridiplantae; Streptophyta; Magnoliopsida; Poales; Poaceae.
CAACUCAACCAACAGCAUGAAGAACACUGAAUAUAAGAAUUAGGUAUAAAAUCAGAGAAGAGUUCGGAAAGGUAGCAGUAAGGGAAAUAGAAUGGAGAAGCACAGCAACUAUAGUGUUGUAGAGGAAGAGGAUCUAGGUACAUGAGAGGAGAGGGGUGGAGAAGAUGAACAGUAGUAGUUGUGAGGUAGAGAGUUUAGGUUUCUUCAAAAUGAUUCUUUGAUGUUCCCGUGGUGUGCUGUCCUUGUCAUCUUGUACUCCACCCAGGUGCACCAAUAUGGCACACAGCCCAUUAACUGAUGGCCCAUAUGCGUUACUAACAUUCCCCCCUUCUUAAGCUUCGGCUUGCCCUCAAGCCGAUGUAGAACCUUUGAAACACCAGGAUUCCAAGGGAAGAUAAUGAACUUAUUGCUGACCGCGGGAACCUCACAGCAAACUGCUAUACGUAGAAGCACUUCUAGCUGGAAUAAAACUGUCAUAAUAAUAUAUAAAUUCUUUCCUGCACCUCCAUCUUUGUUCAAUGAUAACUGACGUGCACCAUAUAUAACACAGCCCAAGUAGUAUGGCACCAGUGAAUUGUUCCAAUGAUUUGUGUUGAGCUCAUGGGAGAUUCUUGAAAUGGGAGUAACCAACAUUUGAUAAGUCCAAAGCACUGCAUGAAGACUAAUCUCCAUCUGAUAGCAGUUGCAACUGAAAGAAGGCCACGGUGACAAAAAAUUGACAAUAAUUUGCUCGCAAACCUUAGCACUCAAUUCUUCAAACAUCUGUUGAGGAGGAUAAACGAGAACCUGCAAUACAAAUUCCCCAUUCUUCAGUUCAGGUGCAACUAGUACACCAAUUGUGUCUGGAUUAAAAAUGGAGAACAGCAUCCCAGGCCUCUGACUGGACAAAUACCUGCCUAGAUCUCUGCUACGAAAAUGCACACCGACCAGUUUCAGCAAGUCCCUUUCACCUUCCAAAGAUAUACCUGCUAAUUCAUGCACUGUACUUCUUGCGCCAUCUGCCCCUAGAAGACCACAGUGUACCUUUAUCUCUAUUAUUCUUCCCUCAUUGUUAAUUGAUGCUCCAACCAGAAUGCCCUCAUCAAUUUGCUGAAGGGAUGUGAAUGAUUUUUGCUGCAUGAGCCAAGAAGUGUGCAGUGAUGCAGCCCCACAAGGUGAUCCUUCACCAAAAUACUCAAGUUUGCCAUAAUUCCAAGUGAGAAACCACACCACACCUUCGUUAUGCUGCCUGUAGAAUUCAGUAACUCUAGAAAUUUUUCCAACAGCCCAAUUAUAGGAGCAGUGAUUAACCACCCCCAAUUCUUGAUGUAGAAUGUUGUCACCAUUGACAUGCAUAUAUCCACCAUAAGAAGUAAUCCAAUCAACCCCACCAUGCAGUCUUCUCUGUGAGUGCUCGAGUGAGCAGUGGAGCGCGGGGAAGGAGAGGAGUGUGCGAGCGAGGUUCGGCAUGUGCAGGGCCAUCGGGAGCAGCAUCUGGCGGAGCCGCGCAGGCGAGGAGGCCACGAAGGCGGCGAGGCCCUCGAGGAGGCACGGGGCGGGGUUGAACUCUCCAUAUAGCUUGGUGCUUUGCAUACCAGUCCAGACGCUGUCACUGCUGCUUCCUCCGUCGUGGUGUGAGGGAAGGAGAGGCUCCACAGAAGUUGAAGUGGUAGCGGCCGUGUUCGAGCAGGUGGCCUGUUUUGACCCGGCAGCCACCACCCAAGCCAGUAGCCCAUGCCCUGCUACGCCCACAACACUGUUGUGGAGUGCAGCUGUCGCUACCGGUGCAUGGCCAACGCAACCGACAGCUCGGUUGAGUGGCGCGUCGAAGUAGGCGACGGCGGACUUCGGGUCGUCGUCGAGGGAGCCGUCGUAGCCACUGAGUGGGGGUUCGUGGAGCACGCACUUGACGGGGACGAGGAUGUCGGCGGCGCCGUAGGCGUUCGGGUGGACGGGUCCAGCGCGGCGGGCGUACUGGGACCAUGGCGACUCUAGAGAGGGGAGGGAUGCACGGAUCUGCGCCACAGAGGUCUGAAGAUGCUCGAUGGAGGAAUCCACUCGGGGCCGCCAGAUGUCGAACACCUGGAUGACGGAUUCCAGCGCCGCAACACGAACUCCGUCUUCUUCUUCGAUUUGACGUUGCGGGGAGUCGAUAUUCACAUCGGUGACGGAGGCAUAGGACUCCAGCACGAUGGUGCCGGAUGCCCGGGCGCCGGUGUCGGCCUCGAUUUGACGGAUCCGCGCCUUGGCAUGCAGCUUUUUGUCCGUCGCCUCCGCGAGAAGCGUCGUUGAGCCGCUUCCCAUCUCCUCGAACGUGUUCACCACCAGACCGUCGGCUCUCGCGCUCUCGGCCAUUCGGUCGAGCACCUUGAACGUGCUCGAGCCCAAGGACAUCACCCCCACAGCGUCGUCACGGUACAGCUCGUCGACGACGGGAAGAGGAGGCGCUGGACUCAUCGCGGCGCGGUACUGCUUGUUCACGACCUCAGUGUGCAGCUGCGGCACCGCGAGGGAGGGCGGCAGCAGGUUCCCCGCGGCGAGUAGGGAAGGGGACGACGAGGGCUGGUCGAGCCUCGCGCGAUCCCCCGCAUUCGCGGCUGCUUCCAUCGCGCCAUGGCCUCCUCGACAGAGUAGGGCGACCACGGGGUUGAGGACGAAGAGAUGGCCGUGGCUGUGACGCGCGGAUGAGUUGAGGAGGUCCGGGUGGAUGUUGUUGGGCAGCGCGUCCAGCGCCGUGCAGUACUGCUCGUCGUCGUUGAAGAACCCGCCCCAGUUGUCGGUGAUGAUGGGCUCCUCAUAGUGCUGCUCGACGGAGUCGUUGCCACUAUCGAAGAGGUCGCCCCAGUUGUCGGCAACCACGUCGGCUCCGACAGCCGCGAAAUGGGUCGGAACAGGGACACGCCUGGAUGCCUCCCGCGCCGCGUCCCGCUUGGCCCACUGCUCGUCGAACUUGUCGAAGAGCUCGCUAAUGGCGUCGAGGAUGAGCUUCGUGUCAAGCAACAUGGCGAUGCGGUGAAGUCGAGGAAAAUAGAUCGAGGUAGAAAACUCCAAGGAUCGAACGAAUCUGAUACCAAUUGUUAGCUACUGUAAUCUCACCAACUCAACCAACAGCAUGAAGAACACUGAAUAUAAGAAUUAGGUAUAAAAUCAUAGAAGAGUUCGGAAAGGUAGCAGUAAGGGAAAUAGAAUGGAGAAGCACAGCAACUAUAGUGUUGUAGAGGAAGAGGAUCUAGGUACAUGAGAGGAGAGGGGUGGAGAAGAUGAACAGUAGUAGUUGUGAGGUAGAGAGUUUAGGUUUCUUCAAAAUGAUUCUUUGAUGUUCCCGUGGUGUGCUGUCCUUGUCAUCUUGUACUCCACCCAGGUGCACCAAUAUGGCACACAGCCCAUUAACUGAUGGCCCAUAUGCGUUACUAACAG